Molecule: ribosomal RNA, 253 nt
Filed under: uncultured bacterium
Lineage: Bacteria
Description: partial 16S ribosomal RNA
Rfam family: Bacterial small subunit ribosomal RNA
Source: RNAcentral
UACGGAGGAGGCAAGCGUUAUCCGGAAUUAUUGGGCGUAAAGCGUCCGUAGGUGGGUGAGGAAGUCUGCUGUUAAAGAGUGAGGCUUAGCCUCAUAAGGGCAGUGGAAACUCUUCGUCUAGAGUGCGACAGGGGCAAGGGGAAUUCCUAGUGUAGCGGUGAAAUGCGUAGAGAUUAGGAAGAACACCGGUGGCGAAAGCGCCUUGCUGGGUCUGCACUGACACUGAGGGACGAAAGCUAGGGGAGCGAAAGGG